RNAcentral lists this long non-coding RNA (752 nucleotides) under Homo sapiens (human). RNAcentral describes it as "HSALNT0031095". The record is from RNAcentral. Lineage: Eukaryota; Metazoa; Chordata; Mammalia; Primates; Hominidae.
AGGGAGACUCUGGCUUUGUUCCUAGUUAUGCCACCCCUGAAAGCUAAUGGCCCAGUUCAAACAGGCCUGGACUCAAACAAAGACCAAGAACUGUGGGCCCUGAGAAAAGCUUUUCUUUCUGGUCUGAAGAGCAGGAAGAGGGCCCCUGCGGGAUACAGAGAUUUGGAGGGAAUCUCCUCCCUCAUUUUAACUUUCUCUCCCAUCUCAGCCCCAGAUUGUGAAGUUGGCACGAGCCCAGCUCAUAAUGGAUAGACCUAUGGCUGACUAUGAGAAAAGGUGUCUGAAGGAUGGCCCAGAUAGCAAAACAAAUAAGCCAGUAAGCAAACAAAUGGGGGAGCCCUGGAGUUGGACCGCCUGUCUAUAAAUCCAGGCUCUGCUACCUACUCGAUGUGGGAUGAUCCUGUGGACAUUGCUUAGUUUUUUACCACCUUACUGGGUUCAUUUAUAAAAGGUAUCCUAAUGUAAAGUACUACAGGAGAUUAAAACAAAAAACUCACCAGCAACUAUAGUAGUAUGCCAGUACUUUCUCAUCAUGGAUUACAUAAGAUGAUAGUAUGUGACAAAAAUGUGCAUCUUAGAAUUGGAGAAAUAUGGUAAUAUAUAUUUCGUUUGGCUUUUCUGAUGAUUAAAGAGUUGUUAAGGCCAGGUGCAGUGGCUUGCAUCUGUGAUCCUGGCACCUCAGGAGGCCGAGGUGGGAAGAUAGCUUGAGCCUAGGAGUUCAAGACCAGCCUGGGAAACAUAAUGAAAGCCUG